RNAcentral lists this ribosomal RNA (247 nucleotides) under uncultured Aeromonadaceae bacterium. Its description in RNAcentral is "partial 16S ribosomal RNA". It matches the Rfam family "Bacterial small subunit ribosomal RNA", at positions 527 to 773 of the family's 1533-position model. Lineage: Bacteria; Pseudomonadati; Pseudomonadota; Gammaproteobacteria; Aeromonadales; Aeromonadaceae. The record is from RNAcentral.
GGAGGGUGCAAGCGUUAAUCGGAAUAACUGGGCGUAAAGCGCACGCAGGCGGUUUGCUAAGCUAGAUGUGAAAGCCCCGGGCUCAACCUGGGAACUGCAUUUAGAACUGGCGAACUAGAGUCUUGUAGAGGGGGGUAGAAUUCCAGGUGUAGCGGUGAAAUGCGUAGAGAUCUGGAGGAAUACCGGUGGCGAAGGCGGCCCCCUGGACAGAGACUGACGCUCAGGUGCGAAAGCGUGGGGAGCAAAC